RNAcentral lists this ribosomal RNA (629 nucleotides) under Comamonadaceae bacterium. RNAcentral's name for it is "bacterial SSU rRNA". It matches the Rfam family "Bacterial small subunit ribosomal RNA", at positions 92 to 717 of the family's 1533-position model. Lineage: Bacteria; Pseudomonadati; Pseudomonadota; Betaproteobacteria; Burkholderiales; Comamonadaceae. The record is from RNAcentral.
CGAGUGGCGAACGGGUGAGUAAUACAUCGGAACGUGCCUAGUAAUGGGGGAUAACUACUCGAAAGAGCGGUUAAUACCGCAUAAGAUGUAUGGAUGAAAGCAGGGGACGUUCGGGCCUUGUGCUACGAGAGCGGCCGAUGUCAGAUUAGGUAGUUGGUGGGGUAAAGGCUUACCAAGCCUAGGAUCUGUAGCUGGUCUGAUAGGAGGAUCAGCCACACUGGGACUGAGACACGGCCCAGACUCCUACGGGAGGCAGCAGUGGGGAAUUUUGGACAAUGGGCGCAAGCAUGAUCCAGCAAUGCCGCGUGCAGGAAGAAGGCCUUCGGGUUGUAAACUGCUUUUGUACGGAACGAAAAGUCUUGGCUUAAUACCACGGGAUCAUGACGGUACCGUAAGAAUAAGCACCGGCUAACUACGUGCCAGCAGCCGCGGUAAUACGUAGGGUGCAAGCGUUUAUCGGAAUUACUGGGCGUAAAGCGUGCGCAGGCGGUUUUGUAAGUCAGAGGUGAAAUCCCCGGGCUCAACCUGGGAACUGCCAUUGUGACUGCAAGGCUGGAGUGCGGCAGAGGGGGAUGGAAUUCCGGGUGUAGCAGUGAAAUGCGUAGAUAUGCGGAGGAACACCGAUGGCG